Molecule: transfer RNA, 76 nt
Filed under: Marinobacter daepoensis
Lineage: Bacteria; Pseudomonadati; Pseudomonadota; Gammaproteobacteria; Pseudomonadales; Marinobacteraceae
Description: tRNA-Ala
Rfam family: tRNA
About the family: Transfer RNA (tRNA) molecules are approximately 80 nucleotides in length. Their secondary structure includes four short double-helical elements and three loops (D, anti-codon, and T loops). Further hydrogen bonds mediate the characteristic L-shaped molecular structure. tRNAs have two regions of fundamental functional importance: the anti-codon, which is responsible for specific mRNA codon recognition, and the 3' end, to which the tRNAs corresponding amino acid is attached (by aminoacyl-tRNA synthetases). tRNAs cope with the degeneracy of the genetic code in two manners: having more than one tRNA (with a specific anti-codon) for a particular amino acid; and 'wobble' base-pairing, i.e. permitting non-standard base-pairing at the 3rd anti-codon position.
Source: RNAcentral
GGGGCCGUAGCUCAGUUGGGAGAGCGCCUGCCUUGCACGCAGGAGGUCAGGAGUUCGAUCCUCCUCGGCUCCACCA